GACGAACGCUGGCGGCGCGCCUAACACAUGCAAGUCGAGCGAUGAAAUUUUAACCGAUCUCUUCGGAGAGAAGAUAAAAUGGAUUAGCGGCGGACGGGUGAGUAACACGUGAGAAACCUGCCUUUCACAAGGGGAUAGCCUCGGGAAACCGGGAUUAAUACCCUAUGACACAUUUCCUUCGCAUGGAAGAAAUGUUAAAACUCCGGUGGUGAAAGAUGGUCUCGCGCCUGAUUAGCUAGUUGGUGGGGUAACGGCCCACCAAGGCCAUGAUCAGUAACCGGCCUGAGAGGGUGAACGGUCACAUUGGAACUGAGACACGGUCCAAACUCCUACGGGAGGCAGCAGUGGGGAAUAUUGCACAAUGGAGGAAACUCUGAUGCAGCGACGCCGCGUGAGCGAUGAAGGCUUUCGAGUCGUAAAGCUCUGUCCUAUGGGAAGAUAAUGACGGUACCAUAGGAGGAAGCCCCGGCUAACUACGU
Molecule: ribosomal RNA, 479 nt
Filed under: uncultured bacterium
Lineage: Bacteria
Description: partial 16S ribosomal RNA
Rfam family: Bacterial small subunit ribosomal RNA
Source: RNAcentral